This 253-nucleotide ribosomal RNA is filed under the name uncultured bacterium. RNAcentral describes it as "partial 16S ribosomal RNA". It matches the Rfam family "Bacterial small subunit ribosomal RNA", at positions 524 to 776 of the family's 1533-position model. The record is from RNAcentral.
UACGGGGGGGGCAAGCGUUGUUCGGAAUUACUGGGCGUAAAGGGCUCGUAGGUGGCCAACUAAGUCAUACGUGAAAUCCCUCGGCUUAACCGGGGAACUGCGUCUGAUACUGGAUGGCUUGAGUUUGGGAGAGGGAUGCGGAAUUCCAGGUGUAGCGGUGAAAUGCGUAGAUAUCUGGAGGAACACCGGUGGCGAAGGCGGCAUUCUGGACCGAUAUUGACGCUGAGGAGCGAAAGCCAGGGGAGCAAACGGG